RNAcentral lists this ribosomal RNA (407 nucleotides) under uncultured bacterium. RNAcentral's name for it is "bacterial SSU rRNA". It matches the Rfam family "Bacterial small subunit ribosomal RNA", at positions 355 to 774 of the family's 1533-position model. The record is from RNAcentral.
UGGGGAAUAUUGCACAAUGGGCGCAAGCCUGAUGCGGCGACGCCGCGUGAGGGAUGACGGCCUUCGGGUUGUAAACCUCUUUCAGCAGGGAAGAAGCGCAAGUGACGGUACCUGCAGAAGAAGCGCCGGCUAACUACGUGCCAGCAGCCGCGGUAAUACGUAGGGCGCAAGCGUUGUCCGGAAUUAUUGGGCGUAAAGAGCUCGUAGGCGGUUUGUCGCGUCUGCUGUGAAAACGCGAGGCUCAACCUCGCGCCUGCAGUGGGUACGGGCAGACUAGAGUGCGGUAGGGGACACUGGAAUUCCUGGUGUAGCGGUGGAAUGCGCAGAUAUCAGGAGGAACACCGGUGGCGAAGGCGGGUCUCUGGGCCGUAACUGACGCCGAGGAGCGAAAGCAUGGGGAGCGAACA